Long non-coding RNA from Magallana angulata, 1951 nucleotides. RefSeq lists it as uncharacterized. Lineage: Eukaryota; Metazoa; Mollusca; Bivalvia; Ostreida; Ostreidae. The transcript has 2 exons. The record is from RefSeq and is a predicted model, not a curated record.
AAAAAAAUUUUCUGAAAAUUUCCUUAAAUUCACUGAAAUAUAUCUGAAUCAUAUCUGAAAAAUUGCUUACUACCAUUUUGUGCCUCUGAACCAGUUCUGAACACAUUUCAGCAAUAUUGCUGAACUGUCUGAAAAAUCUGAAUUGUUCUGAAUUUGUCUGAAAAAUCUGAACUGCUUUGAAAAUUGCUGAAACAGUCUGAACUCUAUCUGUAUAGUGCUAAAACAGUCUGAACUAUUCUGAAUAUUGCUGAAACAGUCUAAACUUUUCUAAAUAUUGCUGAAAUACUCUAUAUUAAGCAUUACCAUAAUCCUAAUGUAAUUUUUUGUCUGAAACAAUUGUUUAAAAUCUGUUGGAAUUUUGAUGCUGAUCAAUUCUUAUAAAUAUGAAAUUCAAUGCUAUUUAAAUGCUGAAAUAUGUCUGCAAUUGAAUACCGGCAUUCCAAACUGAUGCACUUUUCAGAAAAGAAUUAAAUUUCACCAAUAUUUCAUUUAAAUAAACAAAAAAACUUAACAGAUUAUUUCAAAUGGCGCUGAAAAUGUGUGAAUUCACGUAUCAAUGUGUACCAUAAUUUUACUAAUUUAAUAAUUAGCUCAAACAUUUCAGAAGUUGCUACUAUACAAACCAAUCAGAACUACAAACUGUUGUAAUGACAGUUAUACCAUUAUAGCUCCUCUUUGUAACUUAGUUCUCUCUAGCAGAUAUACAAGUUAAUACUACAGUAUAUAAUUUGUUUCAGGAGUGAUUGUUUACCUCGUUUAUUUAGUGUGCAAGUUGAAACACAAAAUUUCGUUUACGAGCGAUUGGCAUUGCUGUAGCAAAAAACUAAUGAGCAUUUAACAGACACGUAAUAAAACUGUUUCUUGACAUUUCCCAAAGGUCCAUUCACAAAAUCAUUCAUUUCUUAUCUGCAAAAACACCUGCACUCAACCUGCAACUUCGCUCGGACUUUGAAGUGUCCGCCAUUGUUAAUGAGGUAUCGAAGCAAUUCGUCACCGUUACAUAAAGCUCACUGAACUUCAUUACAUAAAAGUCAUUCUAUUACAUCAAAACGAAGAUUUUUUUUUAUCAAAAUUACAAUACAAAUUAUAGCAACAAACUAGGAUGCGAACGUUUUGUUUUCAAUGUUACCAAAAUGAAUUAAAAAUAAAAUUAAACAAAAAAUUGGGGAGGGGUGAAAUUAAAUAGUAACAACUUGAGUACUAUUAAAAGAUAACUAGUUUCUGACAGUUCUAUGUCUGCUUUUAAAGCUAUUUGAUUCAAUUUCCCAGGUGUUUAUAAUAGUUUUGCAUAUAUUUAAACCAACUGUAAAUGAUUAACUUAUUUUUAAUCCGGAAUUAUAUCGGAUUAUCAUCGAGUUGUUUUGCAUACACUACGUCAUUUCCGCCCAAUGAUGACGCACUUUUGAUGGGAGCUACAAGCAGACGGAUUUGAAAAUUCAAGGAUUUAUACAUCAAUUGAUGUUUUAUAGCGGGAUAUUUCUAAAAGAGGUAGGAUACACUAUAGAUUAAAAGCCAUUAAUUGAUAUAUGGAGAUUUUUAUUCAUGAUAAAUGUUGUUUUUUUGUAUUUAAAGAUAAUUUAAUGAUUGAAUUGUAAACAAUGUUUGUAAUCUACACACAUUCUAAUGUUAUGCUACAAAUAAGUCUUAUGAUUUAAUGAAAUAUGCCAAGCUGUAAUCUCAUGUAAUUUAUGAUGCAUAGGAACUUUACAUUGUAUAUAGAUUGUUUUUUGCACCACUCAUAGUUGCUGAUCAUAUGCAGAAAAAAAAUAGGGAAGCUGAGACCUGCAAAAACUGUUCCCAAAAUAACGAUGAUAAAGGAUGGUAAAAAAAAUCAAACUGCACAAGAAGCAUUAGGACAUUUAAAGAAGUUUCAGGGAGAGGCAGAUAAGUGAUGUGGGAAAAAUGUAUAUUUAGAAAAAUAUGAAUAAAUUUAAUUUGCUUGAAAAUCCUA